This 440-nucleotide ribosomal RNA is filed under the name uncultured bacterium. RNAcentral describes it as "partial 16S ribosomal RNA". It matches the Rfam family "Bacterial small subunit ribosomal RNA", at positions 338 to 795 of the family's 1533-position model. The record is from RNAcentral.
CCUACGGGAGGCAGCAGUGGGGGAUAUUGCACAAUGGGGGAAACCCUGAUGCAGCGACGCCGCGUGUGGGAAGACGGUCCUCUGGAUUGUAAACCACUGUCCCCAGGGACGAAGAUGACGGUACCUGGGGAGGAAGCUCCGGCUAACUACGUGCCAGCAGCCGCGGAAAUACGUAGGGAGCGAGCGUUGUCCGGAAUUACUGGGUGUAAAGGGAGCGUAGGCGGGACUGCAAGUUGGGUGUCAAAUCUACCGGCUCAACCGGUAGCCGCACUCAAAACUGCAGUUCUUGAGUGAAGUAGAGGCAGGCGGAAUUCCUAGUGUAGCGGUGAAAUGCGUAGAUAUUAGGAGGAACACCAGUGGCGAAGGCGGCCUGCUGGACUUUUACUGACGCUGAGGCUCGAAAGUGUGGGGAGCAAACAGGAUUAGAUACCCCAGUAGUC